AGCGCGGGGCAACCUGGCGGCGAGUGGCGAACGGGUGAGUAAUACAUCGGAACGUACCCAGAAGUGGGGGAUAACGUAGCGAAAGUUACGCUAAUACCGCAUACGAUCUACGGAUGAAAGUGGGGGACCUUCGGGCCUCAUGCUUUUGGAGCGGCCGAUGUCUGAUUAGCUAGUUGGUGGGGUAAAGGCUCACCAAGGCGACGAUCAGUAGCUGGUCUGAGAGGACGACCAGCCACACUGGAACUGAGACACGGUCCAGACUCCUACGGGAGGCAGCAGUGGGGAAUUUUGGACAAUGGGCGCAAGCCUGAUCCAGCAAUGCCGCGUGAGUGAAGAAGGCCUUCGGGUUGUAAAGCUCUUUUGUCAGGGAAGAAACGGCUGCGGCUAAUAUCCGCGGCUAAUGACGGUACCUGAAGAAUAAGCACCGGCUAACUACGUGCCAGCAGCCGCGGUAAUACGUAGGGUGCAAGCGUUAAUCGGAAUUACUGGGCGUAAAGCGUGCGCAGGCGGUUUUGUAAGUCUGAUGUGAAAUCCCCGGGCUCAACCUGGGAAUUGCAUUGGAGACUGCAAGGCUAGAAUCUGGCAGAGGGGGGUAGAAUUCCACGUGUAGCAGUGAAAUGCGUAGAGAUGUGGAGGAACACCGAUGGCGAAGGCAGCCCCCUGGGUCAAGAUUGACGCUCAUGCACGAAAGCGUGGGGAGCAAACAGGAUUAGAUACCCUGGUAGUCCACGCCCUAAACGAUGUCUACUAGUUGUCGGGUUUUAAUUAACUUGGUAACGCA
This 781-nucleotide ribosomal RNA is filed under the name Massilia sp. THGR28. RNAcentral's name for it is "bacterial SSU rRNA". It matches the Rfam family "Bacterial small subunit ribosomal RNA", at positions 71 to 850 of the family's 1533-position model. Lineage: Bacteria; Pseudomonadati; Pseudomonadota; Betaproteobacteria; Burkholderiales; Oxalobacteraceae. The record is from RNAcentral.